GAGGAAGACGCUGGCGGGCGUGGAUUAGGCAUGCAAGUCGGACGGUAGGGCUUUAUCGUAAGAUAGAGUUUGAGAGUGGCGAACGGGUGAGUAACACGUAGGAAUCUACCCUUAAGACGGGGACAACCCAGGGAAACUUGGGCUAAUACCGGAUGAGAGUGCGAGAGAUUGCAUUUAAAAGGAUGGCGAAAGUUGUCGCUUAGGGAUGAGCAUGCGUCCAAUUAGCUAGUUGGUGAGGUAAUGGCUCACCAAGGCUACGAUUGGUAGGGGUUCUGAGAGGAUGAUCCCCCACACUGGUACUGAGACACGGACCAGACUCCUACGGGAGGCAGCAGUGAGGAAUAUUGCGCAAUGGACGAAAGUCUGACGCAGCCAUGCCGCGUGAAGGAUGAAUGCCCUAUGGGUUGUAAACUUCUUUUGUACGGGAAAAAACUCCUCUACGUGUAGAGGACUGAUGGUACCGUAAGAAUAAGCACCGGCUAACUCCGUG
Molecule: ribosomal RNA, 490 nt
Filed under: uncultured bacterium
Lineage: Bacteria
Description: bacterial SSU rRNA
Rfam family: Bacterial small subunit ribosomal RNA
Source: RNAcentral